RNAcentral lists this ribosomal RNA (1241 nucleotides) under Aquarius paludum. RNAcentral's name for it is "16S ribosomal RNA". The stretch from base 826 to 1182 matches the Rfam family "Archaeal large subunit ribosomal RNA", at positions 2158 to 2714 of the family's 2987-position model. Lineage: Eukaryota; Metazoa; Arthropoda; Insecta; Hemiptera; Gerridae. The record is from RNAcentral.
GUAAAAAUUUAUUAUUUUUUUUUGUUUUUUUUAAUUUUAAUAAAAAUAUUUUGUUUUUUAGUAUUUUUGAAUUAAUAUUUUUUAUUUAUAGUUAAUUUUACUGUGAAGGAUUAUUUUGUUUUUAAGUUAAAGUAUUUUUUGUUUGAAGUACCUUUUGCAUCAGGGUUUAUUAAAAUAAUAAAAUUAUUUUUUUUUCUCGAAAUUUUAAGACUUAAGGUUAAAUGUUUUUUUUUGUAACAAAAAAAUUUAUAAUUUUUCCUUAGAGGUUAUAUGCUUUUCAUUUAAAAUAAUAUCUAGUUCAUUAAUACUUGAAUUUAAUUCAUUUUUAAUAUUGCUUUUUUUUAAUUUUAUUAAUUAAAGUUUAUUAAUUAAAGAUUUAUGGGGAUAAGCUCAUAUUUUUUGUUAAAAAGUCUUUUUGAUUAAAUUCUUUGUAGGAUUAAUAAUUUCCAUCUUUAUUUUGUUAUAAUUAUUUUUUUAUUUAAAUGAUUUUUUUCCUUUUAAUUUUUUAUUAAUGUUUUAUAUAUAAUUUUUUGUUUUAAUUAAUAAUGAUAAAAUUAGUAAUUUUUAUAAUUUAAAAAUAGUAAUUCGGCAAAUUUUAUUUUCACCUGUUUAACAAAAACAUGGUCUUUUGAUUUUAAUUUAAGAUCAGGCCUGCCCAUUGAUUUUUUUUAAUUAAAAGGCUGCGGUAUUUUGACUGUGCAAAGGUAGCAUAAUCAUUUGUCUUUUAAUUGAAGGCUAGUAUGAAUGGUUUGAUGAAAAAUAAACUUUCUUUUUUUAAUUAUUUUGAAUUUAAUCUUUUAGUUAAAAAGCUAAAAUUUUUUUAUAGGACGAGAAGACCCUAUAGAAGUUUACUUUAUUUAUUAAUUAUUGUUUUUUGUUUAUUAAACUAUUUUUUAGAAUGUAAAGUUUUGUUGGGGUGACAUUAAAAUUUAUUUAACUUUUAAUAUUUUUUUCAUUAAUUUAUGUUUUUUUGAUCCAAAAUUUUUGAUUAUAAGAUUAACUUACCUUAGGGAUAACAGCGUAAUUUUUUCGGAGAGUUCUUAUCGAUGAAAAAGUUUGCGACCUCGAUGUUGAAUUAAGAUAAGAUUUGGGUGUAGAAUUUCAUUUUUCUUGGUCUGUUCGACCAUUAAAUUCUUACAUGAUUUGAGUUCAGACCGGCGUGAGCCAGGUCGGUUUCUAUCCUUAUUUUUUGUAAAUUAGUACGAAAGGACCAUUUACAUUAAUUAAAUUAUUUAAUUUUG